Molecule: ribosomal RNA, 505 nt
Filed under: uncultured bacterium
Lineage: Bacteria
Description: partial 16S ribosomal RNA
Rfam family: Bacterial small subunit ribosomal RNA
Source: RNAcentral
GACGAACGCUGGCGGCGUGCCUAAUACAUGCCAGUAGAACGCACAGUUUAUACCGUAGCUUGCUACACCAUAGACUGUGAGUUGCGAACGGGUGAGUAACGCGUAGGUAACCUGCCUGGUAGCGGGGGAUAACUAUUGGAAACGAUAGCUAAUACCGCAUAAUAUUGAUUAUUGCAUGAUAAUUGAUUGAAAGAUGCUAUUGCAUCACUACCAGAUGGACCUGCGUUGUAUUAGCUAGUAGGUGAGGUAACGGCUCACCUAGGCGACGAUACAUAGCCGACCUGAGAGGGAGAACGGCCACACUGGGACUGAGACACGGCCCAGACUCCUACGGGAGGCAGCAGUAGGGAAUCUUCGGCAAUGGACGAAAGUCUGACCGAACAACGCCGCGGGAGGGAAGAAGGGUUUCGGAUCGGAAAGCUCUGUUGUAAGGGAAGAAAGGGUGUGAGGGUGGAAAGUUCACACUGUGACGGUAUCUUACCAGAAAGGGACGGCUAACUACGUG